GGAUAGCUCAGUUGGUUUGAGCGUGGUGCUGAUAACGUCGAGGUUGCAGCUUCGAUCCCCGCAGGAGACA
Podarcis lilfordi (Lilford's wall lizard) is the source of this 70-nucleotide non-coding RNA. NCBI's taxonomy places the organism in Eukaryota, Metazoa, Chordata, Lepidosauria, Squamata, Lacertidae. The record is from the annotation of a GenBank genome assembly.